RNAcentral lists this long non-coding RNA (1325 nucleotides) under Homo sapiens (human). RNAcentral describes it as "long non-coding RNA NONHSAT185977.1". Lineage: Eukaryota; Metazoa; Chordata; Mammalia; Primates; Hominidae. The record is from RNAcentral.
GGAAAGUCCUCCCCCUGAAGUGCCUGAAGUGCUGCCACCGAAGGAAGUGGUCCCAGAAAAGAAAGUACCGGUGCCUCCUGCCAAAAAGCCAGAAGCUCCACCUCCUAAAGUACCAGAGGCUCCCAAAGAGGUUGUUCCUGAAAAGAAAGUGCCCUCGGCUCCUCCUAAAAAGCCUGAAGUCCCACCUGUUAAAGUGCCAGAGGCUCCGAAAGAAGUUGUUCCUGAAAAGAAAGUGCCAGCGGCUCCUCCUAAAAAGCCUGAAGUCACACCUGUUAAAGUGCCUGAGGCUCCCAAAGAAGUUGUUCCUGAAAAGAAAGUGCCAGUGCCUCCUCCUAAAAAGCCUGAAGUGCCACCCACAAAAGUCCCAGAGGUGCCAAAGGUAGCUGUCCCAGAAAAGAAGGUGCCUGAAGCUAUUCCUCCCAAACCGGAAAGUCCUCCCCCUGAAGUGUUCGAGGAGCCUGAGGAAGUUGCCCUAGAAGAGCCUCCUGCUGAAGUUGUGGAAGAGCCAGAGCCAGCGGCGCCUCCACAAGUGACCGUACCACCUAAGAAACCUGUCCCAGAAAAGAAAGCACCUGCUGUCGUUGCCAAAAAACCUGAACUACCACCAGUGAAAGUGCCCGAGGUGCCCAAGGAGGUUGUUCCUGAAAAGAAGGUGCCUCUGGUGGUUCCCAAAAAGCCAGAAGCCCCACCUGCUAAAGUGCCUGAAGUUCCAAAAGAAGUUGUUCCAGAAAAGAAAGUAGCUGUUCCCAAAAAGCCAGAAGUCCCACCAGCAAAAGUGCCAGAAGUGCCAAAGAAACCUGUCUUGGAAGAGAAACCAGCUGUUCCUGUUCCAGAAAGAGCGGAGUCUCCUCCCCCAGAAGUAUAUGAAGAACCUGAGGAAAUUGCUCCUGAAGAGGAAAUUGCUCCUGAAGAGGAAAAGCCAGUUCCUGUUGCAGAAGAGGAGGAACCAGAGGUUCCACCUCCAGCAGUGCCUGAAGAGCCCAAGAAGAUCAUCCCAGAGAAGAAAGUUCCUGUCAUCAAAAAACCAGAAGCACCGCCUCCUAAAGAACCUGAGAUGCCAAAGAAAGUUGUUCCAGUGAAGAAGGUCCCAACUGUUAAGAAGCCAGAAACACCAGCAGCUAAAGUGCCUGAGGUGCCCAAGAAACUUGUUCCAGUAAAGAAAGAACCUGUGCCUGUUACCAAAAAACCAGAAGUUCUUCCAGAAAAAGUGCCCAAAGUGCCUGAGAAAAUCAUCCCAGAAAAGGAAGUGUCUGUGCCUAUCCCUGCAGAGCCAGAAGUUCCACCUGCUGAAGUUGAAGAGACUCCUGAGGAAAUAAUAUAUGAAG